RNAcentral lists this ribosomal RNA (754 nucleotides) under uncultured archaeon. Its description in RNAcentral is "bacterial SSU rRNA". It matches the Rfam family "Archaeal small subunit ribosomal RNA", at positions 102 to 856 of the family's 1478-position model. The record is from RNAcentral.
GGAUAACCUACCCUUAGGACCGGGAUAACCCUGGGAAACUGGGGCUAAUACUGGAUAGAUGAUUUUUCCUGCAAUGGUAUUUUGUCUAAAUGUUUUUUCGCCUAAGGAUGGGUCUGCGGCCGAUUAGGUAGUUGGUUAGGUAAUGGCUUACCAAGCCGCUUAUCGGUACGGGUUGUGAGAGCAAGAGCCCGGAGAUGGAACCUGAGACAAGGUUCCAGGCCCUACGGGGCGCAGCAGGCGCGAAACCUCCGCAAUGUGAGAAAUCGCGACGGGGGGAUCCCAAGUGCCAUUCUUAACGGGAUGGCUUUUCUUGAGUGUAAAAAGCUCUUGGAAUAAGAGCUGGGCAAGACCGGUGCCAGCCGCCGCGGUAACACCGGCAGCUCUAGUGGUAGCCAUUUUUAUUGGGCCUAAAGCGUUCGUAGCCGGUUUAAUAAGUCUCUGGUGAAAUCCCACAGCUUAACUGUGGGAAUUGCUGGAGAUACUAUUAGACUUGAGGUCGGGAGAGGUUAGAGGUACUCUCAGGGUAGGGGUGAAAUCCUGUAAUCCUGGGAGGACCACCUGUGGCGAAGGCGUCUAACUGGAACGAACCUGACGGUGAGGGACGAAAGCUAGGGGCGCGAACCGGAUUAGAUACCCGGGUAGUCCUAGCCGUAAACGAUGCGGACUUGGUGUUAGGAUGGCUUUGAGCCGCCCUAGUGCCGAAGGGAAGCUGUUAAGUCCGCCGCCUGGGAAGUACGGUCGCAAGACUGAAACU